UGUGGGAGCUGGCUUGCCUGCGAUGGCGGUGUUGGAUUCACCACCGCCAUCGCAGGCAAGCCAGCUCCCACA
This 72-nucleotide unclassified non-coding RNA is filed under the name Pseudomonas gessardii. The record is from RNAcentral. Lineage: Bacteria; Pseudomonadati; Pseudomonadota; Gammaproteobacteria; Pseudomonadales; Pseudomonadaceae.